GACGAACGCUGGCGGCGUGCCUAAUACAUGCAAGUAGAACGCUGAAGAGAGGAGCUUACUCUUCUUGGAUGAGUUGCGAACGGGUGAGUAACGCGUAGGUAACCUGCCUUGUAGCGGGGGAUAACUAUUGGAAACGAUAGCUAAUACCGCAUAACAAUGGAUGACACAUGUCAUUUAUUUGAAAGGGGCAAUUGCUCCACUACAAGAUGGACCUGCGUUGUAUUAGCUAGUAGGUGAGGUAAUGGCUCACCUAGGCGACGAUACAUAGUCGACCUGAGAGGGUGAUCGGCCACACUGGGACUGAGACACGGCCCAGACUCCUACGGGAGGCAGCAGUAGGGAAUCUUCGGCAAUGGGGGCAACCCUGACCGAGCAACGCCGCGUGAGUGAAGAAGGUUUUCGGAUCGUAAAGCUCUGUUGUAAGUCAAGAACGGGUGUGAGAGUGGAAAGUUCACACUGUGACGGUAGCUUACCAGAAAGGGACGGCUAACUACGUG
Molecule: ribosomal RNA, 497 nt
Filed under: uncultured bacterium
Lineage: Bacteria
Description: partial 16S ribosomal RNA
Rfam family: Bacterial small subunit ribosomal RNA
Source: RNAcentral